UACGUAGGGGCAAGCGUUGUCCGGAAUUAUUGGGCGUAAAGGGUGCGUAGGCGGCCUUUUAAGUCAGAUGUGAAAGACCACGGCUUAACCGUGGGGUUGCAUUUGAAACUGCUGUUCUUGAGUGAUGGAGAGGCAGGCGGAAUUCCCGGUGUAGCGGUGGAAUGCGUAGAUAUCGGGAGGAACACCAGUGGCGAAGGCGGCCUGCUGGACAUUUACUGACACUGAGGCUCGAAAGUGUGGGGAGCAAACAGGAUUAGAUACCCGCGUAGUCCCU
Molecule: ribosomal RNA, 274 nt
Filed under: uncultured prokaryote
Description: partial 16S ribosomal RNA
Rfam family: Bacterial small subunit ribosomal RNA
Source: RNAcentral